RNAcentral lists this ribosomal RNA (253 nucleotides) under uncultured bacterium. Its description in RNAcentral is "partial 16S ribosomal RNA". It matches the Rfam family "Bacterial small subunit ribosomal RNA", at positions 524 to 776 of the family's 1533-position model. The record is from RNAcentral.
UACGUAGGGGGCAAGCGUUGUCCGGAAUCAUUGGGCGUAAAGAGCGCGUAGGCGGCCCUGUAAGUCCGCUGUGAAAGUCAAGGGCUCAACCCUUGAAUGCCGGUGGAUACUGCAGGGCUAGAGUCCGGAAGAGGCGAGUGGAAUUCCUGGUGUAGCGGUGAAAUGCGCAGAUAUCAGGAAGAACACCCGUGGCGAAGGCGGCUCUCUGGAACGCAACUGACGCUGAGACGCGAAAGCGUGGGGAGCAAACAGG